Molecule: ribosomal RNA, 253 nt
Filed under: uncultured bacterium
Lineage: Bacteria
Description: partial 16S ribosomal RNA
Rfam family: Bacterial small subunit ribosomal RNA
Source: RNAcentral
UACGUAGGUUGCAAGCGUUGUCCGGAUUUAUUGGGUUUAAAGGGUGCGUAGGUGGCUGAUUAAGUCAUGGGUGAAAGCCCGCAGCUCAACUGUGGAAUUGCCUGUGAUACUGAUUAGCUUGAGUGCGGUUGAGGCAGCUGGAAUUGGUGGUGUAGCGGUGAAAUGCAUAGAUACCACCAGGAACACCGAUUGCGAAGGCAGGUUGCUAAGCCGUAACUGACACUGAGGCACGAAAGCGUGGGGAGCAAACAGG